GACGAACCGAGCGAACGUUGUUCGGAAUCACUGGGCUUAAAGGGCGCGUAGGCGGGUGCUCAAGUCUGUGGUGAAAUCCUCCGGCUCAACCGGAGAACUGCCAUGGAUACUGGGCGUCUCGAGUGUGGUAGGGGUAUGCGGAACUAUCGGUGGAGCGGUGAAAUGCGUUGAUAUCGAUAGGAACUCCGGUGGCGAAGGCGGCAUACUGGACCACCACUGACGCUGAUGCGCGAAAGCGUGGGGAGCAAACAGG
This 253-nucleotide ribosomal RNA is filed under the name uncultured bacterium. RNAcentral describes it as "partial 16S ribosomal RNA". It matches the Rfam family "Bacterial small subunit ribosomal RNA", at positions 524 to 776 of the family's 1533-position model. The record is from RNAcentral.